Molecule: ribosomal RNA, 488 nt
Filed under: Salmonella enterica subsp. enterica serovar Give var. 15 str. CFSAN004343
Lineage: Bacteria; Pseudomonadati; Pseudomonadota; Gammaproteobacteria; Enterobacterales; Enterobacteriaceae
Description: bacterial LSU rRNA
Rfam family: Bacterial large subunit ribosomal RNA
Source: RNAcentral
GUCCCAAAGUCAUGGUUAAGUGGGAAACGAUGUGGGAAGGCCCAGACAGCCAGGAUGUUGGCUUAGAAGCAGCCAUCAUUUAAAGAAAGCGUAAUAGCUCACUGGUCGAGUCGGCCUGCGCGGAAGAUGUAACGGGGCUAAACCAUGCACCGAAGCUGCGGCAGCGAACGUAUCACCCAAGACAACUUUACGGAGUUGACGAUUGACGGAGCGAAGCGACGUCAAAGCGUUCAUUAAAGUCGAGUUGGCUUAGGGAUACGUUCGUUGGGUAGGGGAGCGUUCUGUAAGCCUGUGAAGGUGUGUCGUGAGGCAUGCUGGAGGUAUCAGAAGUGCGAAUGCUGACAUAAGUAACGAUAAAGCGGGUGAAAAGCCCGCUCGCCGGAAGACCAAGGGUUCCUGUCCAACGUUAAUCGGGGCAGGGUGAGUCGACCCCUAAGGCGAGGCCGAAAGGCGUAGUCGAUGGGAAACGGGUUAAUAUUCCCGUACUU